RNAcentral lists this ribosomal RNA (253 nucleotides) under uncultured bacterium. Its description in RNAcentral is "partial 16S ribosomal RNA". It matches the Rfam family "Bacterial small subunit ribosomal RNA", at positions 524 to 776 of the family's 1533-position model. The record is from RNAcentral.
UACGUAGGGUGCGAGCGUUAAUCGGAAUUACUGGGCGUAAAGUGUGCGCAGGCGGCGCUGCAAGUCGAGUGUGAAAUCCCCGAGCUUAACUUGGGAAUUGCGCUCGAAACUACGGCGCUGGAGUAUGGCAGAGGAAGGUGGAAUUCCACGUGUAGCGGUGAAAUGCGUAGAGAUGUGGAGGAACACCGAUGGCAAAGGCAGCCUUCUGGGCCAAUACUGACGCUCAUGCACGAAAGCGUGGGGAGCAAACAGG